AUUGAACGCUGGCGGCAGGCCUAACACAUGCAAGUCGAGCGGAUGAAGGGAGCUUGCUCCUGGAUUCAGCGGCGGACGGGUGAGUAAUGCCUAGGAAUCUGCCUGGUAGUGGGGGAUAACGUCCGGAAACGGGCGCUAAUACCGCAUACGUCCUGAGGGAGAAAGUGGGGGAUCUUCGGACCUCACGCUAUCAGAUGAGCCUAGGUCGGAUUAGCUAGUUGGUGGGGUAAAGGCCUACCAAGGCGACGAUCCGUAACUGGUCUGAGAGGAUGAUCAGUCACACUGGAAAGGAGACAGGGUCCAGCCUCCUCCGGGGGGCACCAGGGGGAAAUUUGGAACAAUGGGGGAAACCUUAAUCCAGCCAUGCCGGGUGGGUAAGGAAGUUUUUCGAAUUGUAAACCAUUUUAAGUUGGGAGGAAGGGAAAUAAGUUAAUACCUUGCUGUUUUGACGUUACCAAAAAAAAAACCCCCGGCAAACUUCGUC
This 484-nucleotide ribosomal RNA is filed under the name uncultured bacterium. Its description in RNAcentral is "partial 16S ribosomal RNA". It matches the Rfam family "Bacterial small subunit ribosomal RNA", at positions 30 to 507 of the family's 1533-position model. The record is from RNAcentral.